This 782-nucleotide ribosomal RNA is filed under the name uncultured bacterium. RNAcentral describes it as "bacterial SSU rRNA". It matches the Rfam family "Bacterial small subunit ribosomal RNA", at positions 28 to 810 of the family's 1533-position model. The record is from RNAcentral.
GACGAACGCUGGCGGCGUGCCUAACACAUGCAAGUCGAACGAAGCACUGCGGAUAGAGACUUCGGUCAAUUGAAGCUUUGACUUAGUGGCGGACGGGUGAGUAACGCGUGAGGAACCUGCCUUUCAGUGGGGGACAACAGUUGGAAACGACUGCUAAUACCGCAUAAUGUGUUUUGGGGGCAUCCCCGGAACACCAAAGAUUUAUUGCUGAAAGAUGGCCUCGCGUCCGAUUAGCUAGUUAGUGAGGUAACGGCCCACCAAGGCAACGAUCGGUAGCCGGACUGAGAGGUUGAACGGCCACAUUGGGACUGAGACACGGCCCAGACUCCUACGGGAGGCAGCAGUGGGGAAUAUUGCACAAUGGGGGAAACCCUGAUGCAGCGACGCCGCGUGGAGGAAGAAGGUCUUCGGAUUGUAAACUCCUGUUGUUGAGGAAGAUAAUGACGGUACUCAACAAGGAAGUGACGGCUAACUACGUGCCAGCAGCCGCGGUAAAACGUAGGUCACAAGCGUUGUCCGGAAUUACUGGGUGUAAAGGGAGCGCAGGCGGGAAGACAAGUUGGAAGUGAAAUCCAUGGGCUCAACCCAUGAACUGCUUUCAAAACUGUUUUUCUUGAGUAGUGCAGAGGUAGGCGGAAUUCCCGGUGUAGCGGUGGAAUGCGUAGAUAUCGGGAGGAACACCAGUGGCGAAGGCGGCCUACUGGGCACCAACUGACGCUGAGGCUCGAAAGUGUGGGUGGCAAACAGGAUUAGAUACCCUGGUAGUCCACACCGUAAACGAU